AGUGGUAAAACUAGCCUUCCAA
Molecule: transfer RNA, 22 nt
Filed under: Radula patens
Lineage: Eukaryota; Viridiplantae; Streptophyta; Jungermanniopsida; Radulales; Radulaceae
Description: partial tRNA-Gly
Source: RNAcentral